RNAcentral lists this ribosomal RNA (478 nucleotides) under uncultured bacterium. RNAcentral describes it as "bacterial SSU rRNA". It matches the Rfam family "Bacterial small subunit ribosomal RNA", at positions 26 to 518 of the family's 1533-position model. The record is from RNAcentral.
UCGUGCUAGGACGAACGCUGGCGGCGUGCUUAACACAUGCAAGUUGAACGGUAUGACAUGGAAGCUUGCUGAAGUGUCAUAUAGUAGCGGACGGGUGAGUAAUGCAUGAGAAGCUGCCAUUGGGAGGGGGACAACAGUUGGAAACGGCUGCUAAUACCCCGUAUGCCGGAGGGUGAAAGGGAGUAAUCCGCCCGAUGAGGUGCUCAUGUCCUAUCAGCUGGUUGGUGGGGUAACGGCCUACCAAGGCGACGACGGGUAGCCGGCCUGAGAGGGUGAACGGCCACACUGGAACUGAGAUACGGUCCAGACUCCUACGGGAGGCAGCAGUGGGGAAUAUUUGGGGCAAUGGGGGCAACCCUGACCCAGCGACGCCGCGUGGGGGAAGACGGCCUUCGGGUUGUAAACCUCUUUUGUACGGGAAGAAGGAAGUGACGGUACUGUACGAAUAAGUCCCGGCUAACUACGUGCCAGCCGCCGC